GAUGAACGCUGGCGGCGUGCCUAAUACAUGCAAGUCGAGCGAACAGAUAAGGAGCUUGCUCCUUUGACGUUAGCGGCGGACGGGUGAGUAACACGUGGGUAACCUACCUAUAAGACUGGGAUAACUUCGGGAAACCGGAGCUAAUACCGGAUAACAUUUGGAACCGCAUGGUUCUAAAGUGAAAGAUGGUUUUGCUAUCACUUAUAGAUGGACCCGCGCCGUAUUAGCUAGUUGGUAGGUAACGGCUUACCAAGGCGACGAUACGUAGCCGACCUGAGAGGGUGAUCGGCCACACUGUAACUGAGACACGGUCCAGACUCCUACGGGAGGCAGCAGUAGGGAAUCUUCCGCAAUAGGCGAAAGCCUGACGGAGCAACGCCGCGUGAGUGAUGAAGGGUUUCGGCUCGUAAAACUCUGUUAUUAGGGAAGAACAAAUGUGUAAGUAACUGUGCACGUCUUGACGGUACCUAAUCAGAAAGCCACGGCUAACUACGUG
Molecule: ribosomal RNA, 496 nt
Filed under: uncultured bacterium
Lineage: Bacteria
Description: partial 16S ribosomal RNA
Rfam family: Bacterial small subunit ribosomal RNA
Source: RNAcentral